Pan troglodytes (chimpanzee) is the source of this 2054-nucleotide long non-coding RNA. RefSeq lists it as uncharacterized. The record is from RefSeq and is a predicted model, not a curated record. The transcript has 2 exons. NCBI's taxonomy places the organism in Eukaryota, Metazoa, Chordata, Mammalia, Primates, Hominidae.
GGUCUUGCUCUGUCUCCCAUGCUGGAGUGCAGUGGUAUGAUCACGGCUCACUGCAGCCAUGACCUCCCAGGCUCGAGGGAUCCUCCCAGCUCAGCCUCCCAAGACCGGCUUGGACUUGUGACCUGUGCAGUCACACAAGGCCCUGCACGUGGUUUAAUGCUCCGCUGUCACCAUCUUGAAAUUCUUAAUACCUUGAACGAGGGGUCCUGUAUUUUUGUUUCAUGCUGGGCCCAGCAAAUUACAUAGGUGGUCCUGCCUUUGGGGUUCUGCAAGGCGACUAACUGUGAAGCAUGCAUCGAGUUACAGUUUUAAAUCUUAACAUGACUUCAUCUGUUAUGGCCUACCCAGGACAGUGCGGGAAGCUGGGUGCCCCUUAAGAAAGGAGUCUGGGCUGAAGGAGAUGGAGAGGUAGGAAGGGUUGGGGUCCUGAAUGUCAGCUUUGCCAGGGCCAUGCCUCGCAGCCAUGUCCUUCCUGCCUGUCUACCACAGGCCAGGAGGUGAACAGUCAUUCUGUAAUUCACAUGCAGUAAAGCUUUUUGAGAGUUCUGUUUUUCACCUGGAACUGCCAAGUCAUUUGGUGAAGAUUUCCUGCUUGUUUGAAGUCUGCAGAGAAAAACCACUAAUGAAACAUACCACAUUUGGAAAUGAACUUUUUAAAGUAUGUAUCCAUAAGUUCUUAUUUCAGCUCUUCCUUUUAUUUUAUAAAUGCCUGUCUUAUUUCAAAAGGGACUUUCAGGCAGAGGUAUAACAACAUAAUAAGAACAAUACAUUUGAGAAACAGGACUGAAAAGAAACUAGGGCAAAGUCAGGGGUAAAAUUGGAUCACAAAUGCAUACCACGAGGUCUUACUGAAUUUAAAAUUUACAAAUGCCUGUAAGCUUCCCAGUCGCAGAACAAAGGAACACAAUUGGUCAUAUCUAUAUGCAGCAGGAGAAGGGUUGGGCGGACAGCAGCUCGCAACUUGGCUUCCACCGUCCGCCGCAGAGAAUUUAGAGGCGUCUUGGGAACAUGAGUGGGGCUAUCCAGGAAUCUGUUUACCUGAGGGACUAAGUCCUGUCCCUUGGACAUCCCCAAAUAGUCCAGAAUGAAGCUUUAUUUGGAGAAGAGGGGCAGUUCGGAGCACUUCAUGACGUCUUGUCACCCAGUUUGUCCCACAUCUGCCUUCAAACUGAGUGGGACUUGAGCAAACAACACCCAGAGCUUCACUCUUCCCCACCACUGUGCUGGCCCUGCGGUGUUGUGAGUUGGUGGCUCCAGUGACAUGGCGGUGGCAGUGAGCCUGGCGCUGGCAGUGUUGGUGACACUCACGUGGUGGUGGUGGCACCAGCACUGGUGGUGUCUGUACCAGCAGGAGAGGCAGCACCGGCACCUCCAAAGUGGAUGCAGCAGCAUCACGGUGGCCACAGGUGCCAAUCGGCUGUAGUAGGUGUGGAGGCAGUGGCUGGGAGUGGCUCGCAGCAAGGGCGAGCUCUGUGGACAACUCCAUGGGUGACAGAAGCCUGGACACGGGAGACCUUGGGGAGCCUUAUCCAAGGAGGUGCUUGAGGCUCCCCCUUGAGGAAGACCUCUCCAGUGGUGGGGGAAUUUGGAGCCAAAGAAAGCUCCUUAUGUUGUCAAAAUGUCCCUUUUUUAACCUUAGGAUGUUGUGACCCCUGAAGGUAUUAAUGAUAUUCUAGAGCAUUUGAAAGACAACAGCCAACUAGCUGGUUAAGCGCAGCUCAGUUUUUCCCCAGUGUGUGUGGGUGGCUGAGCACACAUUCAUUAAUUCAGUGAUUCAUUCAGCCAACAUCUGCGGAACCCCUGCUGGCUUCUGGAGUCAGAUUGCGGGGAUCUGAAUCGGGCUUGCCACUUACUAGUCUAUGACCUUGAGCAAAUGACGUGAUUCCUCUAAUACCCAGUUUCCCCAUCUGUAAUAUGAAAUGUGAAUACUAAGUAUCCGCCUCAUUGGGUUUUAGGAGAAUCAAAUGCAUGUCAAGUGUUUAACAUGGUGCCUGGCACAGAUUAAAACAUCCAAGAAGUGUGAGUUAUGAUUAAAGGCUGUGAAAUGUACAAAG